GGUGACCACCACCGCCGUGUGACCGCCAUGAACCACCAAAAAUUAGCAUUAUUCCAUCGUCCACCACAACCGAUCGUGUGCAAUAGAGGAAGCUAAGAUGAUGCAAUGAUGAAAACCGCAACAUAUCCAUCCGAUACGAGUAUCAAUCGAGUCAUCUAGACGCCUACGGAGCUCGAUCUAGACGCCUUGACUAGUGAUGAAGAAGACGAUC
This 211-nucleotide long non-coding RNA is filed under the name Helianthus annuus (common sunflower). Its description in RNAcentral is "sRNA HanXRQr2_Chr14g0647581". Lineage: Eukaryota; Viridiplantae; Streptophyta; Magnoliopsida; Asterales; Asteraceae. The record is from RNAcentral.